RNAcentral lists this ribosomal RNA (253 nucleotides) under uncultured bacterium. RNAcentral describes it as "partial 16S ribosomal RNA". It matches the Rfam family "Bacterial small subunit ribosomal RNA", at positions 524 to 776 of the family's 1533-position model. The record is from RNAcentral.
CACGUAGGGGACGAGCGUUGUCCGGAUUCAUUGGGCGUAAAGCGCGCGUAGGCGGCUCGGAAAGUCGGUCGUGAAAUGCCGGGGCUCAACCCCGGGACUGCGUCCGAUACUCUCGAGCUGGAGGCAGGUAGGGGAGAUCGGAAUUCCUGGUGUAGCGGUGAAAUGCGCAGAUAUCAGGAGGAACACCGGUGGCGAAGGCGGCGUUCUGGACUGCAACUGACACUGAGGAACGAAAGCCAGGGGAGCAAACGGG